CUCAACAAAAAGAGAAAAAAAGGGAAAAAGUACUUUAGUGUUUGACAUUGAUUUGGUUGAUUUAUAUGCUCCGGGGAUUCAAAUGUGUUCUGAAAAUGGUGGGAAAAUUUAGAGAGAUGUUGAUUGGGAUAAUCUGCUUUUGAGGGUAAAAAAUGAAAAGGGCAACAUAUCAUUACAUGAGGCCUUGAUGAACGGUCACCAAGUUGUAGCUUAUUAUUUGAUCACGGUAGAUCCAGAAGUGUUAUGUUAUCUGAACAAUGAAGUGAAAUCAGCUCUGUUUCUAGCUGCUGAAGUAGGGUUUUAGGAACUUGUCACGCAUAUUCUAUGUGAUACAGUUGGGAUUGAAAAUACAAAUGAAAGACUUAAAGGGUAAUCACCUAUUCAUGCUGCCAUUUUAAAAAGAAACCGAGGUGUUUUUGAUGCCUUAUUGAAAUCAGAACCAAGGUUCAUUCGAUUAAGAGAUAAAGAAGGAAGAACUCCACUUCACCUGAUUGCAUGAUUGGGCUAUCUUGAAGAGGUUCAGUACUUGUUAGGAAGACAGAGUUCAGGUGCUAUUGCAAGGGACAACAAUGGCUUACUUCCUAUUCAUUUAGCAUCAAUUAAAGGCCAUGUUGAUGUUGUUCGGGGGUUGCUUCAGUAUUGGCCUGAUUCGAGGGAACGGCUCAACUGUCAUGGUCAAAAUAUUCUUCAUGUUGCAGCCAAGAGCAGAGGACAUAACAUGGUUAGUUACAUUCUCCAAACUCCUGAGGUCGAGAAGUUUUAUAAACAUGAGGGAUAAGCAUGGAAACACAACCUUGCAUUUGGCCACCUUGGAUUGGCAUCCAAAGAUUGUUGGUACCCUAACAUGGGAUGAAAGAGUGGACUUAUAGUGAAUAAUGAGGGUAUGUCUGCUCUUGAUUCUGCUGAAUACUACAUGGAAAGAAUGUCCUCAUUUCGAAAGUCCAUAUAUACAAUCUCGAAAUGCUUCUUCACUUAGUGUGCUAAAGCUAAAGUUCUCCAAAGGUUGUCUGUGUGUGAACAUUCUUUUUCAUAGUACUACGAAUUAUUAUUUAGCAUUGACUGGAAGGAAUUUUAAUGGCCUGCUAUUUCAAUAGCCAUUAGGUGGUCAUAGUUUAAAUUUGUGGGACAUUUUUAUCUUGCGACGGUUAACAUGGACUGCAUUGAAGGCUGCUGGUGCACCACUAGCUUACUGUUGAAAAGCCGUCAAUGCUAAAAAGAAACAAGCAUCUAUGCAACUGGAGCAAGUGAACAUAGACAGCUAUAAGGACCGAUUCAACACUCUUCUAUUGGUGUCCACCCUCAUUGCCACUGUAACUUUUGCAGCUGGUUGCACAAUACCCAGUCGUUAUAACAACAUUGAACCUGACCAAGGCAUGCCAACUAUGCUAAAACACAAGUGGUUUCACAUAUUCAUUUUCUGUGACACCAUAGCUCCAUUAAUACUGCUGUUACCCUCAUAUGGGCACAAUUAGGGGACCUCAAUUUGGUGCUUACUGCCUACAGAUUGGCGGCACUACCACUACUGGGGAUCACUCUCACCAAAGCAAGGAGGAAAUGAUAUCAAUAGAGAUAUUUCCUCUUUUAAUUUAUUUGAUUUGUUGGUUAAUUGAGUUCCUUUUGUUUGCUUUUGGUCUUAUAUGUUGGUAUCUAAGUAGCUUGCCAGCAAGUAUGUAAUUGUACGUAAUGUUUUGAUAUUUUAGUGUUUUACAGUUAAUGUGGCUGUUAUAUGUUGGAGAUGAGUGGUUUUGUU
Non-coding RNA from Camellia sinensis, 1750 nucleotides. NCBI's taxonomy places the organism in Eukaryota, Viridiplantae, Streptophyta, Magnoliopsida, Ericales, Theaceae. The record is from RefSeq and is a predicted model, not a curated record.